This 172-nucleotide ribosomal RNA is filed under the name Candidatus Dorea intestinigallinarum. Its description in RNAcentral is "partial 16S ribosomal RNA". It matches the Rfam family "Bacterial small subunit ribosomal RNA", at positions 1 to 152 of the family's 1533-position model. Lineage: Bacteria; Bacillati; Bacillota; Clostridia; Lachnospirales; Lachnospiraceae. The record is from RNAcentral.
UUUUACGAGAGUUUGAUCCUGGCUCAGGAUGAACGCUGGCGGCGUGCUUAACACAUGCAAGUCGAGCGAAGCACUUACUUUGGAUUUCUUCGGAAUGACGAGGUAUUUGACUGAGCGGCGGACGGGUGAGUAACGCGUGGGCAACCUGCCUCACACAGGGGGAUAACAGUUA